AUUGAACGCUGGCGGCAUGCCUUACACAUGCAAGUCGAACGGCAGCACGGACUUCGGUCUGGUGGCGAGUGGCGAACGGGUGAGUAAUGUAUCGGAACGUACCUUUCAGUGGGGAUAACGUAGCGAAAGUUACGCUAAUACCGCAUAUUCUGUGAGCAGGAAAGCAGGGGAUCGCAAGACCUUGCGCUGAUUGAGCGGCCGGUAUCAGAUUAGCUAGUUGGUGAGGUAAAGGCUCACCAAGGCGACGAUCUGUAGCGGGUCUGAGAGGAUGAUCCGCCACACUGGAACUGAGACACGGUCCAGACUCCUACGGGAGGCAGCAGUGGGGAAUUUU
RNAcentral lists this ribosomal RNA (334 nucleotides) under uncultured bacterium. Its description in RNAcentral is "bacterial SSU rRNA". It matches the Rfam family "Bacterial small subunit ribosomal RNA", at positions 30 to 365 of the family's 1533-position model. The record is from RNAcentral.